This 425-nucleotide ribosomal RNA is filed under the name uncultured bacterium. Its description in RNAcentral is "bacterial SSU rRNA". It matches the Rfam family "Bacterial small subunit ribosomal RNA", at positions 358 to 773 of the family's 1533-position model. The record is from RNAcentral.
GGAAUAUUGCGCAAUGGGCGAAAGCCUGACGCAGCGACGCCGCGUGGGGGAGGAAGGCCCUAGGGUCGUAAACCCCUGUCAGGUGGGACGAACCGUGUGCCGGCGAAUAGCUGUCAUGCCUGACGGUACCACCAGAGGAAGCUCCGGCUAACUCCGUGCCCGCAGCCGCGGUAAUACGGAGGGAGCGAGCGUUGUUCGGAAUUACUGGGCGUAAAGGGCGCGUAGGCGGCCUUGUAAGUCGAAUGUGAAAUGCCGGGGCUCAACUCCGUGCACUGCAUCCGAUACUGCAUGGCUAGAGAAAGGUAGAGGCGAGCGGAAUUCCCGGUGUAGCGGUGGAAUGCGUAGAUAUCGGGAAGAACACCCGUGGCGAAGGCGGCUCGCUGGGCCUUUUCUGACGCUGAAGCGCGAAAGCGUGGGGAGCAAAC